GACGAACGCUGGCGGCGUGCUUAACACAUGCAAGUCGAACGGAAAGGCCCUGCUUUUGUGGGGUGCACGAGUGGCGAACGGGUGAGUAAAACGUGUGUAACAUGCACUUGACUUUGGGAUAACUUUAGGAAAAAGGGGCUAAUACCGGAUAGGAGCUCCUGAUGCAUGGUGGGGGUUGGAAAGUUUCGGCGGUUGGGGAUGGACUCGCGGCUUAUCAGCUUGUUGGUGGGGUAGUGGCUUACAAAGGCUUUGACGGGUAGCCGGCCUGAGAGGGUGACCGGCCACAUUGGGACUGAGAGACGGCCCAGACUCCUACGGGAGGCAGCAGUGGGGAAUAUUGCACAAUGGGCGGAAGCCUGAUGCAGCAACGCCGCGUGCGGGAUGACGGCCUUCGGGUUGUAAACCGCUUUCGCCUGUGACGAAGCGUGAGUGACGGUAAUGGGUAAAGAAGCACCGGCUAACUACGUG
RNAcentral lists this ribosomal RNA (468 nucleotides) under uncultured bacterium. Its description in RNAcentral is "partial 16S ribosomal RNA". It matches the Rfam family "Bacterial small subunit ribosomal RNA", at positions 28 to 507 of the family's 1533-position model. The record is from RNAcentral.